UGGGGAAUCUUCCGCAAUGGGCGCAAGCCUGACGGAGCAACGCCGCGUGAGUGAAGAAGGGUUUCGACUCGUAAAGCUCUGUUGUCGGGGACGAAUGUCAGGACUCAAAAUAUGGGUUCUGAAUGACGGUACCUAACAAGAAAGCACCGGCUAACUACGUGCCAGCAGCCGCGGUAAAACGUAGGGUGCAAGCGUUGUCCGGAAUUACUGGGUGUAAAGGGAGCGCAGGCGGACCGGCAAGUUGGAAGUGAAAACCAUGGGCUCAACCCAUGAAUUGCUUUCAAAACUGCUGGCCUUGAGUAGUGCAGAGGUAGGCGGAAUUCCCGGUGUAGCGAUGGAAUGCGUAGAUAUCGGGAGGAACACCAGUGGCGAAGGCGGCCUACUGGGCACCAACUGACGCUGAGGCUCGAAAGUAUGGGUAGCAAACAGGAUUAGAUACCCUGGUAGU
Molecule: ribosomal RNA, 448 nt
Filed under: uncultured Gemmiger sp.
Lineage: Bacteria; Bacillati; Bacillota; Clostridia; Eubacteriales; Oscillospiraceae
Description: bacterial SSU rRNA
Rfam family: Bacterial small subunit ribosomal RNA
Source: RNAcentral